GUCAACGGAGCUGCUUCCUAUAAGAAAAUUGUGAAGGAUUUUGUAAAUGAAUAUUACUGUAUUGUUUCAAGGGAAAAGAUCAAGAAAUUGAACAAAAGAGGAUCUUUCCCAGUUCGUGUGCUGACUUGGUGUUAGUUGUAUUGGCUGAUAUAUGUUAAGUGUGAUUUGUGGACAUAUUAUGUAAUGAUUACUACCUAAUUGUGUUAAUUGAAAGCAUUAUUGUUUUAUUGG
This 231-nucleotide long non-coding RNA is filed under the name Eucalyptus grandis. RNAcentral's name for it is "long non-coding RNA (EGRA_LNC001637)". Lineage: Eukaryota; Viridiplantae; Streptophyta; Magnoliopsida; Myrtales; Myrtaceae. The record is from RNAcentral.